RNAcentral lists this ribosomal RNA (371 nucleotides) under uncultured organism. Its description in RNAcentral is "bacterial SSU rRNA". It matches the Rfam family "Bacterial small subunit ribosomal RNA", at positions 526 to 896 of the family's 1533-position model. The record is from RNAcentral.
CGUAGGGUGCGAGCGUUAAUCGGAAUUACUGGGCGUAAAGCGUGCGCUAGGCGGUUAUAUAAGACAGAUGUGAAAUCCCCGGGCUCAACCUGGGAACUGCAUUUGUGACUGUAUAGCUAGAGUACGGCAGAGGGGGAUGGAAUUCCGCGUGUAGCAGUGAAAUGCGUAGAUAUGCGGAGGAACACCGAUGGCGAAGGCAAUCCCCUGGGCCUGUACUGACGCUCAUGCACGAAAGCGUGGGGAGCAAACAGGAUUAGAUACCCUGGUAGUCCACGCCCUAAACGAUGUCAACUGGUUGUUGGGUCUUCACUGACUCAGUAACGAAGCUAACGCGUGAAGUUGACCGCCUGGGGAGUACGGCCGCAAGGUUG